This 497-nucleotide ribosomal RNA is filed under the name uncultured bacterium. RNAcentral describes it as "partial 16S ribosomal RNA". It matches the Rfam family "Bacterial small subunit ribosomal RNA", at positions 28 to 507 of the family's 1533-position model. The record is from RNAcentral.
GAUGAACGCUGGCGGCGUGCCUAAUACAUGCAAGUCGAGCGAACAGACGAGGAGCUUGCUCCUCUGACGUUAGCGGCGGACGGGUGAGUAACACGUGGAUAACCUACCUAUAAGACUGGGAUAACUUCGGGAAACCGGCGCUAAUACCGGAUAAUAUAUUGAACCGCAUGGUUCAAUAGUGAAAUACGGUUUUGCUGUCACUUAUAGAUGGAUCCGCGCCGCAUUAGCUAGUUGGUAAGGUAACGGCUUACCAAGGCGACGAUGCGUAGCCGACCUGAGAGGGUGAUCGGCCACACUGGACCUGAGACACGGUCCAGACUCCUACGGGAGGCAGCAGUAGGGAAUCUUCCGCAAUGGGCGAAAGCCUGACGGAGCAACGCCGCGUGAGUGAUGAAGGUCUUCGGAUCGUAAACCUCUGUUAUUAGGGAAGAACAAAUGUGUAAGUAAAUAUGCACGUCUUGACGGUACCUAAUCAGAAAGCCACGGCUAACUACGUG